CAGUAGCCGCGGGAAUACGUAGGUGGCAAGCGUUGUCCGGAAUUAUUGGGCGUAAAGCGCGCGCAGGCGGAUCAGUUAGUCUGUCUUAAAAGUUCGGGGCUUAACCCCGUGAGGGGAUGGAAACUGCUGAUCUAAAGUAUCGGAGAGGAAAGUGGAAUUCCUAGUGUAGCGGUGAAAUGCGUAGAUAUUAGGAAGAACACCAGUGGCGAAGGCGACUUUCUGGACGAAAACUGACGCUGAGGCGCGAAAGCCAGGGGAGCGAACGGGAUUAGAUACCCCUGUAGUCCCUGUCUCUUAUACA
RNAcentral lists this ribosomal RNA (301 nucleotides) under uncultured bacterium. Its description in RNAcentral is "partial 16S ribosomal RNA". It matches the Rfam family "Bacterial small subunit ribosomal RNA", at positions 509 to 809 of the family's 1533-position model. The record is from RNAcentral.